This is a ribosomal RNA of Cyanistes caeruleus (blue tit), 114 nucleotides long. Lineage: Eukaryota; Metazoa; Chordata; Aves; Passeriformes; Paridae. The record is from Ensembl.
GCCUACAGCCAGACCGCCCUGAGAGCGCCCGAUCCCGACUGAUCUCGGAAGCUAAGCAGGGUCGGGCCCGGUCAGUACUUGGAUGGGAGACCGCCGGCGAACACCGGGUGCUGU